This 430-nucleotide ribosomal RNA is filed under the name uncultured bacterium. Its description in RNAcentral is "bacterial SSU rRNA". It matches the Rfam family "Bacterial small subunit ribosomal RNA", at positions 355 to 776 of the family's 1533-position model. The record is from RNAcentral.
UGGGGAAUAUUGGACAAUGGGCGCAAGCCUGAUCCAGCAAUGCCGCGUGUGUGAAGAAGGCCUGCGGGUUGUAAAGCACUUUCGGUGGGGAAGAAAGGCUCAAAGUUAAUAUCUUUGAGAGUUGACGUUACCCACAGAAGAAGCACCGGCCAACUCUGUGCCAGCAGCCGCGGUAAUACAGAGGGUGCAAGCGUUAGUCGGAGUUAUUGGGCGUAAAGCGUGUGUAGGCGGAUAUUUAAGUCGGAUGUGAAAUCCCCGGGCUCAACCUGGGAACCGCAUUCGAUACUGGAUAUUCUUGAGUAUGGUAGAGGAAAGCGGAAUUUCCGGUGUAGCGGUGAAAUGCGUAGAUAUCGGAAAGAACACCAGCGGCGAAGGCGGCUUUCUGGACCAAUACUGACGCUGAGACACGAAAGCGUGGGGAGCAAACAGG